AGCUCCAAUAGCGUAUAUUAAAGUUGUUGCGGUUAAAAAGCUCGUAGUUGGAUUUCUGUUGUAGGCAGCCGGUCCACACUAUGUGUGAGUAUCUGGUUCGACUACGGCAUCCUUGUGAAAGUCGUUGGUGCGCUUCACUGCGUGGCACGGGAUUCACAACUUUUACUUUGAGGAAAUUAGAGUGUUCACGGCAGGCGUUUGCCCUGAAUAUAUUAGCAUGGAAUAAUGAUAUAGGCAUGUGUGUCUAUUUUGUUGGUUUCUAGACGCA
Molecule: ribosomal RNA, 268 nt
Filed under: uncultured eukaryote
Lineage: Eukaryota
Description: partial small subunit ribosomal RNA
Rfam family: Eukaryotic small subunit ribosomal RNA
Source: RNAcentral